GGCAUGGUAUCAUUUAUCAUUUUUACGUCACAAAGUAAACUUCUUUUAUCAAUUCCCACUCGUAAUAAGGUGGAGCAAUGACGCUAGUCAUAUGGGUAUCCCGAACGUGCUUGAAGAUAUCGGUUAUCGUCAGAUCAAUCGUCAGAAGCUGGGAUUAGUUUUUGAAAAUUUCAAUUAUAUAAUAAUCACGUAGGGAUUUGAAGUUAAAUAUUAGGUACGUAAUAAAAUUUAUAAUUUUGUACUGUAGUUUAAAUGGAUGCUAUACUUUGAUUCGAGAAUUCAAUAAUGCAUCUUGGUCGAAUUUUGUACGAA
This is a long non-coding RNA of Gossypium arboreum, 312 nucleotides long. RefSeq lists it as uncharacterized. The record is from RefSeq and is a predicted model, not a curated record. The transcript is spliced from 2 exons. NCBI's taxonomy places the organism in Eukaryota, Viridiplantae, Streptophyta, Magnoliopsida, Malvales, Malvaceae.